Molecule: long non-coding RNA, 538 nt
Filed under: Androctonus crassicauda
Lineage: Eukaryota; Metazoa; Arthropoda; Arachnida; Scorpiones; Buthidae
Source: RNAcentral
AGUAGUUCGACUUGUGAACAAAAGAAAUAGAAAUAAUAGAAAUGAAAAACUUUAAGAAGUCUGGUGAAGAAAAUCAAGAAGAGUGGCAACUGCCGUUAGGAAUAACUCCAGACGAGCUGAUAAAUGAAAUCAUGUCUAAAUGGUCCAGACAGCCUUUUGGUAUUGGAGAGGAGUUGAUAUUCGAGCAAGAUAUGAAAUAUAUCGACUGGCUAUCGGAACUACCUUCAAAUACGCGUAGAAUGCCUGAAAAUAUAAACGAUGAAAUACAGAGAAUAAGAUAUAGAAAAAAGAUAAUCGCGAUUGUCUAAAAAUCUAAAAUAAAAUAAAAUUCUAAUUUUAAAGCGCGCUGUGGGAAAAUUCAUCAAAUCCAAUGGAUUAUUUAACACCUAAAUUUUACGUGAGAGACAUGCAAUAUCAUCGAUGGUCGAAUAAAGAAAAAGAAAACAAGUAAGUAUAGAGGGAAAAAAUAUAAUAAUUUUAGGAUAUCAUUUUAAAUAAUUUUUGUAUCUUCAGAGAUUUUGAAAAAAGCAAUGGAAAG